CUGGGCUAAGGACUCGAGGAGAAAUUUCUUGUACUCCAUUUUGGAUUUAGCUCCAACUAGCUUGGAGCUUAUCAUAGACUUUUGUUGGAGAAAUCUUGCUAUAGACUGAUCCAUUGUUACAAGAAGUUGCAAAAAAUGAUGAGAGAGUCAUUCAAGAAUUUUAGGCUUGGUGGCCUUUUCUGGAUUAAAUUCUUGCCACCAUUUAACCUUAUAUUUCCUGCCAAGCAUGUUAAGAAGAGGA
RNAcentral lists this long non-coding RNA (241 nucleotides) under Elaeis guineensis (African oil palm). Its description in RNAcentral is "long non-coding RNA (EGUI_LNC042816)". Lineage: Eukaryota; Viridiplantae; Streptophyta; Magnoliopsida; Arecales; Arecaceae. The record is from RNAcentral.